UCCCACUCCACUCUACCUAAGCCCUUCCCAAUAAACCCUACAGGAAGGGGAAUAAACAAACCCUUCCCAAACUGGUCUUUGCAGAAAGCAGGAAUGGCAAAUAAAUUCUACACUGAGGUGCUGGGUUGUACUUCAUGGGAACCACCUGGUAUUUAUCAUCAUCCUCUGGGGUAUUUACUGAGAGCUUACUAUGUACAAUACAACAGAGCUGGUAGACACCUUCCUUGUGGGAAGCUUACUGUAUGCAGUGGACUGUACUAAGCAUUUGGGUGAGAGUACAAUACAACAAAAAUCAGAAGCUCAUGGUAAAAUUCACUGGUGGAGUUGCCCUAGAAAAUACUUCCUUCUUGGUCAGAUUCAAAGAGGGAAUAUUUGGUUCAAGUAUUAUCUGUCCUGAAAAUGCUCUAUAUUUGUUGAAAAAGCAAAGCAUAUUUUUGUGCCAAUCUAGAGCCCUUCUUCAAACCCACAUUUUCCCAUUGGGGUAUAUUUUCCCACUGAAAUUGGGGGUCAGGAAGAUUUUAUUGUUUGAUCAACUGUUGGAAUUGUUUUGGGGGGAGAUGAAAUUGAAAUUCUUCUCAGGGGAAACAAAAGGGGGGAAAUCACUGGAAGUUUACCAGUAACCCCUUGGCGUCCUCAGGUCCCUGUGGAAAUAUGCUGAAGGCAUUCAAUGUAGACAAAGCUAGCCCCUCAGGAGAAGAGAGAACUAAGGGGGCUUUGGGAGACUUGUGGGGCCCAGCACUUAUGGAGAGGAGAUGAGGAGCUGAUUGCCUGAGGGCCAGGGGAGGAGGGGGCCUGCACGGGAAGGGGAAAGCAUCUCAAAUUAUUUCUGGGGUUGGAGGAAAUUCUAAGCCUUGGAUCUUCGAGUCAAGUGUGAAAAUUCUCCUUUAAGUGUUUGUGAUCUCAGAAGCAUGUCUCACAAAAUUCAUAUCUUGAGAAAUAAUGAAACUGUAUUAAUGUUUUCCACAUUGAAUUCUAUUCAGGGAUACAUAAUUAUCAAAAAGUAAAGAAAAUGAAACUUUUACUAAGGGGAUGAGUGGGAAAUUUUGAAAAAUAGGUAAAAAUGAACUUUUCCAAGGGAAAUUAAUUUUAAGAAUCCUUAAAACACCAAAUAAAAUUUCUUAUUAUUGCUGUUAUCUUCCAAGUGAUCCUGUGCUGGGAUAGUCAAGGCCCCAUCAGGCUCUGGAAGCCCAAGUGCACUGAACAGUUAAUAGAUUUAUUCCCAGGAUGCCUGCCAUAUCCUUGGACACAGGAAGUUCCAAGGGGUUAUCCAGAUCCAGACCUGCGCUCCAAUAACAACAGUACAGCCCGUGGGGAGGGUGAGGAGGGUCAGGUGGCUAGAUGCUGAAAACACCCAAGGUAAGAAAGAAGGGGUCAAGAGUUCUGGGGGAAGAUGACAUAAGGGAUAAUGGGAUAUAAUUUCUCUAAGGGGAGGGAAAAUAGGGGCAAUGAUCAGAUUUGCAAAUCAGUAAAACUGGGGAAACCAAACCCCAAUGGAAUAAGCUUAAAAUUACUAAUUAAAGCACCGUUAACGUAGACCCUCACAUAGUACUCAUUUCCAUUGAACACAGGUAGGUCGAAAUUUUUGAGGGUAAGAAAGAUUCUCUCUAGCCCAUGUAUGUAACUAUUGAAACUCUACAUUUCUAUUUAAGAACAUCGGGGGUUUUUGACAUUGCAGGAUUAGUCUUUGGUCUUGAAUGUCUAGAGAUUUAGUCCACAGGUGGAGAUUGGCACUCUGGGCUCGAGCAGGGAGCACCAAGCUCCAUCACGGAGCAGCAGUAAGUGGUCACCCCGGGGCAAGUCAGAGAAGGUCUCUGGCAGAAACUGAACAGAGGUAUGAGGGGGUGGGAAAGAAAACUGUCAUGAAUAGUUAUCCUUGUGAUGGACUUUGGGUAACGUGGCAAGAGACGGUGUCGUUGCUCUCACACCUGAGGGGGCUUUUUCACGUCAAAGUUUGCAAAAAAAAAUCUGUUUCCUCCAGCAGGAAAGUACCAUCAGCCUUCCCAGAAGAAUGAGGUGAAGUUCCUGGCAGAGCAAAAGUGGAAUCCCGGCUAGCGAAGGAGUCCCUGCUGGCCCGGCAGCUGUCCCUGCAGCUCCAUAUUGCAAGGGAGAAGCAGGGACAGUAUGCUCCCCCCCCAUUCUUGGACCACAGUGCACAUUGAGGGGGUCUGGCUUCCUCUGGAAUUCACCAGCCUGCUGACUGCUAUCCCAGGACAGGUUUCAGCACCCCAGCUGAGACCAUCUCUGGCCAGGGAAGAAAACAGUAAGAGAAAUCCUGCUUCAAGGAAGAAUUGGAUAAGGUUGUUACAGGCAGAGGAAGAACGCAUCCUUGGCUACUGAAGAAGUUGUGAGAUGGCUUCCGCAUCAAUGGCCUGGCAGCUGUCCCUGCAGCCCCAUAUUGCAGGGGGGAAGCAGGGGCAGCAGGGUGAGAUGGAGCAGGGAAACUGGUUGUGAGGAGGUAGGACGGAGGGUGUGAAACCCCAGCAGCAUUGCCAUUAGGUGCCCCUUGAUCCUCGGUGGGAGCACCAUUGGAA
Long non-coding RNA from Ornithorhynchus anatinus (platypus), 2531 nucleotides. RefSeq lists it as uncharacterized. Lineage: Eukaryota; Metazoa; Chordata; Mammalia; Monotremata; Ornithorhynchidae. The transcript has 3 exons. The record is from RefSeq and is a predicted model, not a curated record.